Molecule: long non-coding RNA, 5301 nt
Organism: Mercenaria mercenaria
Lineage: Eukaryota; Metazoa; Mollusca; Bivalvia; Venerida; Veneridae
Exons: 3
Source: RefSeq, a predicted model, not a curated record
UAUAAGAGAAAUGUAUUUUUCUUCGUUCCAUAGGUGAAUGGUAUAUAUCUGUACAAUGCCAUUCAGGAAUGGGCGAUAUCGUUAUUCGACAGCAAAUACAAACGUUACAUUGCCGGACCGAAAGAGAUCUGCAGAAGAUUAUGUAAGCGUAUCGUCCGGAAAUUUGUGGUAUGGUAAAUCUGUGGGCACGCUUCGCUGCCAACAAAAAUCAUCUGUAUUGAUCACCAAAUAUUGUGUUUGUCAUUAUUCACUUGUUAUAAAGCAAUAUUAAUGCCUUUUUAAAGUAUUAUUUUCAUAAAAUGACGAAGUUAUGAAAUAGUACAUGAGUGACUGCAGAAGAAUUAGUACUGUGUUAUAAUAAUACUGCUUACAGUGAUCAUGGGAACUGUACCAACCAGUAUGGAAUAUACUGUUUACACUAAUUUGAAAAAAAAAGUUAUAUUAUACAGGAAUACCUAUAAAUUUGUUUUUGCUUAGAGCUUUCACUAUGAGUAUGUAUUCUUUGAUUUUGAUGUAUACUGUCACAUCUUAAAUAGUUACUAAGCAGGGUACUUGUGAAAUUUCUUCAGGUUUUUUAUAUUACUUCAAAUCUGUGUUAUGUAACAUUAAAACAAUCACAACAUUUUUUUAUAACAACACUCAGUCUGGGCAAAAUCAAAAGAAAUUUAAUAUAGCCUUGAUGUAGCAUAGUUUAAACCUUUUGAUUUUCAAUAACAUUUCCACAAUGUCUUGGAAUGAUAUCACAUCUAAUUUUGUUCAUUUAGCUAUAGAAAAGAACUUGAUACAACAUUUCAAUUUGCCACAUCUUUUUGACAAAUACUUUGUAGUUGUAUUUUAAUUGUCCCUUCUUCUUUGAACAGCUUGUGUUGCUGUGAAAAAAAUGUUUACCUAAUAUUAAUGAGAUUGAUUUGUCAUUCAACAAUUCAUUCAGUUUUCUCUGGAUAAUGCAAAUGUAAAUUCUUGAAUUCUAGAAAGUUUUAAUUAUACAGCUCUGUAUGUGCAUGCAUUAUUGAUAUAACAAAUUACAAUUAUGAGGUAUUAUCUGGAAAUUUAAGUGAAAUAUUAACUUGUUGACACCAAUUGACAACUUGUAAUUUUGGCACUACUUGGCAAACCCUUAAAUUUAUUUCAAAAUGGAAUAUGUUAUAAAAGUAGAAUGUGUUUUUUUUGUUAACACGAGUUUAAACCACACUUGGACAUCUGGCAAAUCCAGGGAUUGUGCUAGUAACAUCCAAAUGUUAUUGAUACCUGAGGCUGUAUAAAUGAACAAUCCUUAUUUUUACGUUUUAAGCAUAGCUUUCUACAGAAAUGUGAGAUAUAUCUUCGACUAUUGAUCUUAACAAUAAAUAGACAGAACAAUAAAAAUCACCAGCCUACGAUAUAUUGUAAUUUGUCUUCUGAUAAAAAUACAGUUCCUGAUUUUAAUUUGAAAUAUCCUUUAGUCUUAGGUAAAACUGCAUAGUCUUGUCUCUUCAGUUUUUAUUGUUUGCAGUUUUAACUAUAAAAUAGUGUCAUCAUCAUAUAAGAUAAGUAGCACAAACGUUUAACAGCGACGAAAGAACAUAUAAUUCACGAUAUAAAUGAUGUUAAAAUCUUGCAAAGGAGAAAUUCUCAAAUGUUAACAGUACUGAGGAAAGUAAAACAUUUGUCGAAAAAUGUAAGAAUCACGCAGAUGAAUUGAUAAGGUUUUAUUGUUGGCCAUGUGAUAUAUCUGUCUGUGCAAUAUGCAUUUGUACUAGGCAUCGAGCUUGUGAAAAAGUUGAUUUUAUAGGGGAUAUUGCAAAAACCUGGACAGAAUCAGAUGAAUGUACAAAGAUGAAACAAACGCUAGCUUCCCUUACGGAACGUCUGAAUAGCGCAGAGAUGAAGUUUCAGUCGAACAUUAGCUCCACUGAAGAGUUUAGUAAAAUGGCAAAAUCGGCUAUCAAAAAACAGCGAGAUGCUAUCGACACUUUUUUUGACAAAAUCGAAGAAGAAAUAACUGAGAAAGUUGAACAAAUGCGAUGUGAAGACACGGAAAAUAUGGAAAAACGGAAGACAGAAUGUUCGGCCAACAUGAAAGAAGUUACAGGCCUGGUAACUGACGUGGAAAAUAAAGAAAAGUUGCAUCAGUUUUGCCAGUUAUUCAUUAAUUAAAAAAAUUCUAGGACAGCAAUUGAAAAGUUAGAGGAAAAUAUGGGCAAGAUUGAGGAUGCAAAUUCAAUUACAAGGUACGAGUUUCAGCCUGCCGACUUCAUUGGUAAAAUGUUUGAGGAAAAGGAAAUGGGAUAUUUGAAGACUACUUUGACUGAUGAAAAUCAGUUCGGCAAGGGUAGCUGUGAAGAUACUACGGAAACAUAAUAGCCCAUAUACACGAUGAUAUCAUCUUUAUAUCAUUUGUAUUUGUUAUCUAUUUAUAACUCCAAAUGUUGAAGUAUGUUCAUUUCUGCCAUGAAAACAAUCAAAUGUUCGAUUUAGCAUUCAGGAAUGUAAUGUACAAAGAGACAGUAGUGUAUAUCGCACAGUACUCGGAUUAGACUUCGUUGUAUUUACUCAUUUGCCUUCUUCCAGAUUAUUGUAAAAAUAUAGAAAUGCACAUGUAUCUAUCCAUAAUAUGUGAAUAUAGAAUCUAUAGGCCUUUACUGAACUAUUUUGAGAAGUUUUUGAUACACUUUAAGUGUGUAAACACAGAGUUUCGGUCAUAAGACCAAACAAAAUAUAUAGUGUAAUUGCUUAUUUUCCAGGUAAAGAAGGUGUUCAACUUCUAUUCAGAUUCUAAGACGGAAAAUUUGUAUUGAUAGUUUGCUAGUCAAAUUUCCUUUGUCUGUGAUAAAUGUCCCAUAACCUUAUUAAUUCUAUGUAAAAACUAAUAAAGUAGUUGUAAUAGUAGAGGGUAUGUAUAAUCAUACGAUUAGAUAAACAAUAUUGUUAAUAUUGCACACGAACCUACAUAAUCAAAGCCAUAAAUGGAGGUUUUUAAAACAAUGGAUACAAUAAUACAUUCUACUUAAAACAAACAUUUAACCUUUGACAUAUAUGUGAGAAAAGCUUAUCAAAAACAGGAAUUAACAAGAAAUUAAUGCAUUUUACAUUAAAGGUUGUUCUGCACUUUCGGAUCAGUAUUUUUUCUACGAUGUAGAAUUUGAGAAAACCUGUUUUUUCAAUACCUCGGGAUAUACUUAGAAAACUCUGCAAAUAAUAAAAGAUAGGGUCCUGUGCUUGAUUUUUUUUGCUAGACUUAUUUGAAAAAUUAAACCUCACGCAAGUUUACGUAAUGGGAGUCUAUGGGAAAAUCACUAUUUUCAUAACAUUUUUGCGAAAUAGAAUUUUUUCUACAACGUAGAUUUUAGUGAAACUUCUCAUAAAUAAACAUAUGGUCUAUAAUAUGGUCAAAUAAAAUGUAUAGGUCCGUGUGCUUGUUUUUGAGAUGUUUGCCCAUGAUCAAAGUUAUCCUCACUUUUCGAGCUGGUUUUAAGCCAUUAUUUUGAAUUAUUUAACGUGUCACAUUUUUUAAUGUCAUAUAUUACCUUACGAAAGAUAGAUAAGUUGCCAUUUUGAUUAACUCAAUCACGGGCUGCCAUUAAUUCAUUAAAAUUAAUGAUUUUCAUUUCCGUACGCCGAAUCCGGACUUUAUUCUACGUUAUCUGGAUAAAUGACAUUACGCUAUCACUUCCAGUCUAUAAAACGUACAGAACUACCUUAAAGCCAAAAAUGUUGCAACCACAUUAUGAACAAAGUAUUUAUGAGCCCUUUAAACCGCUAUUAAAUCUGUUUGGGUUUUCAUAGUAUACGUCUGCAGUUGUCGCUUCAGGAUACCACAAAUACCAAAAGACUACUGGACUCCAAAAGGUACAAUGAAAUCCAUUCUUCGGGAGGUAUUAAACUGACUUUCCUACAUUAAAGAUAGUCAAAUAUUUGUUGAGAAGUAUUGCUUAAUGCAGUAUAUUGACGAAAUAUAAAAUAUUAAGUCAACUUAUCUGGAAACAGAUUAUGUUAUAAAGCCCUUCUCUAUUUAGUGUUCAAUUUAGUUUAGUUGUUGACAAUUGCUUUAAAACGGUACUCGACCCAAACAAUGACUCUUGCAUCUUAAUGGUAUUCUGUUUUUCACGACCAUUGUCAGAUAACCCACCCGCUUAUGCCCAUUUGUUCCAUAUAACUUGUACAUAGCCUCAUCAGAAAUAUGAACGUUUUUCCAUAUCUGAUUGCACAUUUUAUAAUACAGCCUACAGGGACUUGCCCUUUGUUUGUUGUUUUUUGAAUUGUUUAGAUGAUUAACUAUGCAUUUGAUCGCAGCUUUGCUCCCUAAUCUUUGAAAAAACACGAUAUAACUACAAAAGAGGAACUCUUUACUUGGUUGACAUCUGUCUUAUAUGUCAGUAAACUGACAUUUUGUAAUCUUACUAGCAAUAGACUCAAUGACUGAUGGUGAUGUCGUAGUAGAUUAUUUUGUGGAAUGUUUCCUGAAUUAGAUGUAGAAUCGAGAUUAAUGAAAUGAAUAUGCACCAUCUAAAAUUAGACUCCCGCCCAAAAAUAUUGUAACGCUUUUGUCGUUUUAUUCAUUUUGUCGUAUCAGCAAUUUUAUGUUGACGUUAAGUAUUACCAUCAAAACAUACUGUACAUAUAAAGUAAUUCGAGAUUUUCUCGCUUGUAAACUUCAAGUUUUCUGUUAAUGCUAUUUGGAUGCUACGCACCAUCACCGUAUUAUAACAGCAUUUUCCCAAACCCAUUAGAUUGUUGUUGCCGACAUAUAUAUAUAAUCUCUCUUUAGCUAAACUCCCGUCCAAAUAAUAGAUCAGUGUUAGUUCACGGUCCCGGACGGCCAUACUCCGUUCUUGAUCUGGAUGUAUCAAAUAUGCGCUGCAUUUAAGGGCGUUUCACAGAUCUGGUAGCACUUUUCUGUCCAGCACAUAGCAUAUGUGAAACUUUCACUUUUCUCUAUCUAGCUGGUCGUAUUUCAGUCAAAUUAUAAGUCUUUUUCAAUCCAUGUGCAUUUACAAAGGGGCAAACAGACGACCAAAUCCCGAUCUGUGCCACUACACUGGAUUCCCGAAAUUUUCAUAGAUGGUCUUUAUUAUUUAUUUUCGGCCGAUGAUAUUUAGGUAGAAUCGCUUAUCUAAAGGUGUUUGAUUAUUACUUUUGUAGGUUUUGAUUGCCUACGUAGAGUAGAUCUUUGUGUUAAUGUUUUAUGGUAACAUUUCUCACUUUCAUUUGAUUGAUUAUGUAUACGAAGGGAUAACCUUUCAAGCCUUAAAUCAUUAGGGUUGCUAUAAUUACGAGAGGUUGUUGAUGUAUCAAUUCUUAAAGAUAACACUAUAUGUUUGC